This 500-nucleotide ribosomal RNA is filed under the name uncultured bacterium. Its description in RNAcentral is "partial 16S ribosomal RNA". It matches the Rfam family "Bacterial small subunit ribosomal RNA", at positions 30 to 523 of the family's 1533-position model. The record is from RNAcentral.
AUUGAACGCUGGCGGCAUGCCUUACACAUGCAAGUCGAACGGCAGCACGGGAGCAAUCCUGGUGGCGAGUGGCGAACGGGUGAGUAAAGUAUCGGAACGUGCCCAGUCGGGGGGGAUAACGUAGCGAAAGUUACGCUAAUACCGCAUACGAUCUAUGGAUGAAAGCGGGGGAUCGCAAGACCUCGCGCGAUUGGAGCGGCCGAUAUCAGAUUAGGUAGUUGGUGGGGUAAAGGCUCACCAAGCCGACUAUGUGGAGCUGGUCUGAGAGGACGACCAGCCACACUGGGACUGAGCCACGGCCCGGACUCCUACGGGAGGCAGCAGUGGGGAAUUUUGGACAAUGGGCGAAAGCCUGUUCCAGCCAUGCCGCGUGCAGGAUGAAGGCCUUCGGGUUGUAAACUGCUUUUGUACGGAACGAAAAGGUUUGCCCUAAUAAGCUGAGCUCAUGACGGUACCGUAAGAAUAAGCACCGGCUAACUACGUGCCAGCCGCCGCCGUAA